This is a long non-coding RNA of Melitaea cinxia (Glanville fritillary), 467 nucleotides long. RefSeq lists it as uncharacterized. Lineage: Eukaryota; Metazoa; Arthropoda; Insecta; Lepidoptera; Nymphalidae. The record is from RefSeq and is a predicted model, not a curated record. The transcript is spliced from 2 exons.
UGUCAUAGUUUCUGUUGGUCACAACUAAAGUUGCGACCAACAAAUCAGUUGAGUCCGAUAUUUACUUCGUGAAUUUAUAUGAUUUAAGUGACUUACGGUAAUUUAAGUGGUGAAACUAAGACGUAGUUGAGUGUUGUAUGAUACUUAUCAUGGUAAUAUGUUAUAAAAUCGGCUGUAAAAGCCGUAUUGAGCAGAAAUUACGAGACAUAACCUUUCAUACAUUUCCAAAGGACUCUGCAAUUCGCCAAUUAUGAAUUCGUGCCACUGGGCGACAAAACUGGCAACCAACCAAACAUACUCGGAUAUGCUGUAGGCAUUUUAAACAAAGUUGUUAAAUCAAUAAAUUAAAAAUAUUUUAAUGUUCGUAUUCAUUAUGCAACAAAAUCUUUUACAAACAAAAUCGACAACAUAAGAAAUAUGUACCCAAAUUAAUUAUAUUCAAAGGACAAUAAAAACUUAAAUUUGGA